UACGUAGGGUGCAAGCGUUAAUCGGAAUUACUGGGCGUAAAGCGUGCGCAGGCGGUUGUGCAAGACCGAUGUGAAAUCCCCGGGCUUAACCUGGGAAUGGCAUUGGUGACUGCACGGCUAGAGUGUGUCAGAGGGGGGUAGAAUUCCACGUGUAGCAGUGAAAUGCGUAGAGAUGUGGAGGAAUACCGAUGGCGAAGGCAGCCUCCUGGGCCAACACUGACGCUCAUGCACGAAAGCGUGGGGAGCAAACAGG
This 253-nucleotide ribosomal RNA is filed under the name uncultured bacterium. RNAcentral's name for it is "partial 16S ribosomal RNA". It matches the Rfam family "Bacterial small subunit ribosomal RNA", at positions 524 to 776 of the family's 1533-position model. The record is from RNAcentral.